GCAGAACCCCACGGUAGAUCAUUCAAAACUGAUUUGACUAUGAAGGUAAUUUUAAUCUGUUUUAGUGUUUUAACUUUGGCAUGUUUUAAAGUAUGGCUGUAAUUUUUCUUGAUUUUCUUGUUUCAUCUCUUUGUAAACUGCUUUCAAUGUGCUUUUUUAUUAUUACAAUCAAGUGGUGCAUAAAUUUUAUUAAUUAAGUAAAUAAAAACAAAUGCAUCACCUUCUCCCACUGCUGGUAGCCAGCAGUAAGCUCCCAGCUAGGACAGCAUGGAGUGGAUCCAAAGUCCCAGCAACUCUGCUAAUAAAGAAGGGUAGUAAAGAAAUUUAGUGGAAGACAGGAGUGCCUGGCGUGCUCUGGUCCAUGGGGUCACGAAGAGUCGGACACGACUAAACGACUAAACAACAACAAAAGAAAUUUAAUAAAUAAUAGUAAUACAAUCCUGUAAGUUAACCCCAUCAGGUAUAGUUCAGAGGUUGUAACACAGGUGCCCACAGAUGCCUUUCUUGGCACCCAAAGAAUCUUCUCCUCCCCACCAUCUACCCACUGAAAUUAGGGUCAAAAGAAGCACGCUACUGUAGCAAGAAGACUAGGUUGCAAUAUGGGCUUGGUUGUUGUUGGUGUGUGUGUGUGUGUGUGUGUGUGUGUGUGUGUGCAUGAACUCAAGGGCCCAACAAGAUUUUCAAUCCCUGAUCUAGGGGAACAGUGAACAAGUUUUUACCCUCUUCUCUGUGGCAAGUAUCUGCUGUCUUCUAUUGUGUUCUUCAAAACCUAUAAGUGAAAAUCUUUUUUCAGUCAACUCUGUGCUACUUUUCCUCCUUCCACAGGGCAUUCAGAUGCCCUACUUGAAACUUGCAAAAUGAGCCUGUUUCUAUAAAGUCUGCUCAGAACAGGCUUCAGAAGCCUUGCAGCACUAAAUGCAGGAAAUCCCAAGGAUAUCGUCACAUGACUUUUCUGAACAAAAUACAAAAGUGACGUGGCCUUGUCUUAAGAAGAAAGGAACAGGAACGGUACUAUUCUGUUCAGGGCCUGGGGUGGGGGAGAUGACAGAAUCAGAUUGAAACCAGAGUAGCUAUUGGAAUUGAAGCCAACACAAUUAAGAACAAUUAGGAGAGAAAAGUGGAUUUAAAAGAAAAUGAUCACAUGGAUAUAAUUUGACAAUACCAUUCAACUAGUAAACAAGGGAAUAGCUUAAUGAAAAGAGGAAAUUGCAAGAGUGGUGAAUUUUAAAAUGUGAAAGGGCCAUACAAGACAUGAACACAAUUUAAUAGCAUUUUUAAAAAAUGCAAAUAGCAGAUGAAGGGAGAUCCAGAGAACAACCUGGGGACAACCAGGGCAGCAGAAGUGGGAAGGGGGAGGUGGCAAAGUUGAGUGGCAAAGCUUAAAUCUUUCUCUCUUUGCCAUGAUUCCAACAGAAAAAGCUUUUCCUACUAUUUGCAUCAAAACCCUAAUUAAACAUAAGGUCAAGGGCAGGGGCGAAAGGAGACACAUGCCUCCUUCUCGCCCUCAGCAUGUUUAAUCAGGGUUUAACCUAAUUAAACAUGUGGCUGGUGGGGAGAAAAGGAGAUGCACAUACCAAUGCGUCUCCUUCUCCCCCACUCCUGACCACCAGGCCACCAACCUUCGUGACCUCUCCUGAUCGCUCUGGGUUGACCCAAUCCAACCUGGGGAUAACUGGGGUUGCCUCUGUCUGAUCUGGCUGAAUUAGAUCCAGCCAGAUUGACCUGAAUUGGCCUGAUUCGCUUUGGGAUCCAGGAUUCAGCUUGAUCUGAUGCACAGCCCUAGUAUAUAAGGGACACACAAUGGUAUAGUAUACAGCAAUAUGUGUUAGUUCACUUAUUUCAGCAUUUAGUAAUUUACCUUUGCUGCUUUGCGCGCGCACACACACACACACUAAUUCUGCUGAAUUUGUGCUCCAGUGUCCUGUCCUGAUCACACAACUAGAACCAAAAAGACAAUCAGACUUGACGUAGGGAUUUGCCAAACAAUCUGUCUGACUUUAUGAAGCACGAUAUAAUUGCAGUCAUUGUCCAUUUCCCCAUAUUUUUGGCUGUUCUGUCACUAAUUAAGGUCUGAUUUAGGUUAAUUUUGCUGCAUGCUUUGACUCCCUGGGUCUUUCUAUCCUGUCACCUCUGUUCAUUCUAUCAAGCAAUAGGUGUUUCUAAGGGUAGGUAGAUUUCAGGCUUAAUUUGUUGGUAAUAUACAGUUCUUCUUUUUCUAAAAACAUGUUUAGGGGUGCUCUCAUUUUCCUACUCAUAUUGAAAUACUGCCCCUCAAUGAGGCCAAACUUAGAUUCACAAAAUGUUUAGGGGUAUGCGUACCCCCAGGAAAAAAAGCACUGGUAAUAAAUCACAGCAUCCAUUCAGGUUUCUUUUUUAGUAGACUGAAAAACCCAUCUCUCUACAUUUCACUGAGGUUUGGUUUUGUUGUUUUACCCCACCUCAUUUAUUCUUUAAAAUGUAUGUCUUUUCAUGCCGUGACAUUCUAAUGCUUGCAAUCACUUUUGAGUUAUUCCGUUUUUAAUAUGAUGCAUUACGUAAUUGCUAAUUUAUAUGGAGAUGGAAUUUCCCAUUAGUUUACAUUUCUGCUCUCUCUCUUUGUUGGAUUCACAAUGUUUGCUAGCGAAUAUAAAGUUCCAGCAUCGCUUACAAAGGAUUACACAAGGCUAUUGUAUUGCAAUGCAAUUUUCGGCAAGACUCCACAUGCUGACUUGCCAAGUGUGUGCCUUUGUAAUAAAAUAGAUACAUUUGUGACUUUCUGGAAGUGUUUCAUACAUGCAUCUUAAGAUGAGAUGCUUAACAUUGUCCUUCUUCACUUUUCAGAUCCACACACAAAAAGAACUGAAUAGGCACUAGGUUACCAGAAAAUUAAGGCUCAAAUAUUCAGGCAACUUACUCUGGACCAGAUCUGUUUAUUUUUAAAGUCCUAAAACGCAAGUAAGGUAAGUUGUUGACUGCAGCCAGUUUAACAAUUAUCCCCAUUAAAUGGUAACUUGCAGACUUGGCUAUCCUUGGGACAGGGAUUUAGGAGAUCUGUUUCAGCUCCAUGGAAGCCAUUUGGUAGUUUGAGUUCAUUCAUUAGCAAUCAUCUUUAGUUCUGGUUGCAGUCUAUCUCACAUGAAAUGUGAAGUGUUGAGGAAACCAUCUUUACUAAUAAUACAUAGCACAUAGAAAAUAAGCCCAUUUUGGAGCCACAACUUGUACAUAAGACAAGUGGUAUAUCCGUUAUUUCCCAUGCAAAAUGAUAUAAGCAUCUACUCAGAAGUAAGCCCCACUGAGUUCAACAAGACUUACUCUCAAGGGAGGAAAUAUUCCAAUGUUACUCAUAAUUCCAACUCCCACACACCUGAGAGUAUUGGUCCAUCACUACCUCUGAUAUGUAUAAAGACAUUGUCUGAAUCUAAGCAACAACUAUUCACAUUUAUAGCUGCAAGAGAUCACCGAUAUUUCUUCAUGGGUGGGUGGGAGGGAAAUCAAAGAAUGUUUAAGUAGUUACUAUGAGCAUUCAAGAAGGGAGCAGAAAAGCUUGUGCUAGGCAAGGUCACAACAUAUUUAGAACAGUUCCAUUGUUUCUAAAGCAUUUCUGGCAAGGAAGAGAUAUGAAUGAUUCCUUUUUUAUAUAUAAAACACACACACACAACUUCCCUCUCCAGGCAACUUUUGAGUCAGCACUCAGCAAUCAUGAAACAAAUAAUUCAAAACUGACAUCAGAGGCAGCUUCAGAGCUUAAUGUCAGCAGAUGACAGUGAAAGGAAAGGCAGACAUCAGAGAUGGUUCUCAUCAAAUGAGUUUUUGGAUCUAUCUUGGGUUGUCUAAAUAUAGGCCUGCUGAAUUAGUCAUCUUGCUCUUUGACUUAUCUUUUAUUCUACUAUGGGAAGAAUUUAUUCUCCUUGAUAUUUUCCUGUUUUGAUUUUAGCAGCAGUUUUGGGGUGACAGGAAUAAGGUGCCAUCAUCCUGACAGCAGCAAAGUCUUUCCUGUCUGGAACAUUAAGAAGUUUCAAAACCAGUCAACUGACUCGCACCUAGAAAGUGCUACUUGAAUGUCUACAGAGCCUAGGUGAGACUUGUGUGGUUUAACCAACAGAUUUGCAUCCCAAGUUCCUUUAGCACUCUGAGCAUUGGCACCGCCAGUGGCCAUGAGCUAGAUGAACCAUACCUUCUGCACCCAACAGAUCAGCAGUGACAUCACAGCAGGC
Non-coding RNA from Podarcis lilfordi (Lilford's wall lizard), 4193 nucleotides. The record is from the annotation of a GenBank genome assembly. Lineage: Eukaryota; Metazoa; Chordata; Lepidosauria; Squamata; Lacertidae.